GUGGGGAAUCUUAGACAAUGGGGGAAACCCUGAUCUAGCCAUGCCGCGUGAGCGAUGAAGGCCUUAGGGUUGUAAAGCUCUUUCAGCUGGGAAGAUAAUGACGGUACCAGCAGAAGAAGCCCCGGUUAACUCCGUGCCAGCAGCCGCGGUAAUACGGAGGGGGCUAGCGUUGUUCGGAAUUACUGGGCGUAAAGCGCGCGUAGGCGGACCAGAAAGUUGGAGGUGAAAUCCCAGGGCUCAACCUUGGAACUGCCUUCAAAACUCCUGGUCUGGAGUUCGAGAGAGGUGAGUGGAAUUCCGAGUGUAGAGGUGAAAUUCGUAGAUAUUCGGAGGAACACCAGUGGCGAAGGCGGCUCACUGGCUCGAUACUGACGCUGAGGUGCGAAAGCGUGGGGAGCAAACAGGAUUAGAAACCCUGGUAGUCC
RNAcentral lists this ribosomal RNA (425 nucleotides) under uncultured bacterium. RNAcentral's name for it is "partial 16S ribosomal RNA". It matches the Rfam family "Bacterial small subunit ribosomal RNA", at positions 354 to 796 of the family's 1533-position model. The record is from RNAcentral.